GAUGAAGAUCGCAGCGAAAUGCGAUACGUAAUGUGAAUUGCAAAUUCAGUGAAUCAUCGAGUCUUUGAACGCACAUUGCGCCCCCUGGUAUUCCGGGGGGCAUGCCUGUCCGAGCGUCAUUGCUGCCCUCAAGCACGGCUUGUGUGUUGGGCCCCGUCCUCCGAUCCCGGGGGACGGGCCCGAAAGGCAGCGGCGGCACCGCGUCCGGUCCUCGAGCGUAUGGGGCUUUGUCACCCGCUCUGUAGGCCCGGCCGGCGCUUGCCGAUCAACCCAAAUUUUUAUCCAGGUUGACCUCGGAUCAGGUAGGGAUACCCGCUGAACUUAAGCAUAUCAAUAAGCGGAGGA
RNAcentral lists this unclassified non-coding RNA (345 nucleotides) under soil metagenome. RNAcentral describes it as "partial contains 5.8S ribosomal RNA, internal transcribed spacer 2, and large subunit ribosomal RNA". The stretch from base 1 to 119 matches the Rfam family "5.8S ribosomal RNA", at positions 35 to 154 of the family's 154-position model. The record is from RNAcentral.